CAGUCGCCACGGGAAUACGUAGGUGGCAAGCGUUGUCCGGAAUUAUUGGGCGUAAAGGGCUCGCAGGCGGUUUCUUAAGUCUGAUGUGAAAGCCCCCGGCUCAACCGGGGAGGGUCAUUGGAAACUGGGAAACUUGAGUGCAGAAGAGGAGAGUGGAAUUCCACGUGUAGCGGUGAAAUGCGUAGAGAUGUGGAGGAACACCAGUGGCGAAGGCGACUCUCUGGUCUGUAAUUGACGCUGAGGAGCGAAAGCGUGGGGAGCGAACAGGAUUAGAUACCCCCGUAGUCCCUGUCUCUUAUAA
Molecule: ribosomal RNA, 301 nt
Filed under: uncultured bacterium
Lineage: Bacteria
Description: partial 16S ribosomal RNA
Rfam family: Bacterial small subunit ribosomal RNA
Source: RNAcentral